AGGGGAACUUUAUACUUGGGGACGAGAUGAGGGGGAUGGUAGGCUGGGCCUUGGCCCUGGGAGGGGCCCAAAUGAAGGAGGUGGACUUAGUAUCCCUUCCAAAGUAAAUGCACUACCUGUUCCUGUUGCUGCUGUUUCCUGUGGUGGUUUCUUCACAAUGGUGUUGACAGAGGAUGGGCAAAUUUGGAAUUGGGGAGGUAAGGAUGUUAUUUCCUUUAUGUAAAUUCUGUGUUCUGUCUUUUCUGUUUUGCAAAUUGCAAUAAGAUUCAACUAUUAAUUUUUCUUUUGAUAGAAUGUUAUGCACAAAUUCUUCAACAUUUAUUUAAUUUCUGAUGCUGCUGCCUUGCCUUUCAUGGCUUCUUAUUAAACAUACAGGUCUAUCUUUCUCCUGCUUGUUUUUGUUCUAUAUUCCUUUUUGUCUUUCUCGCAUUCCAUGUUAAACUAAUUAAAAUAUUUUUUUGUUGCAAUGGUGCCCAAAACCAAAUUAAAUUAUUUUUCAUUCCCCCUCAUCUUGGUCUCUAUUAGCAGCAUAUCUAUUCUCUUAUGAAGGCUUUUUUAAAAAUUUUAUAAAAAAAAUUCCCUUAAGGGUGGGAAGAUGGUUGAGCAAAGGUAAGAAAAAAAAAGGCAACUGAGCCCACCUUAUAAGUUAAUUUCUUUUAAGAGAGUGAUAAAUGACAACUUAUUUGCUCUGCGUGUCGUUUAUAUCUUUUGAUGUGGAAUUGCAACAUUUGACAUUUCUCAUGAAGUCUUCUUUUUUAUGUUUUUUCUUUUUUUUGAAUUGUGCCUUGGAUUCUUGGUUUUGGUCAAUGAAUCAAAUAUUUUUCUGAGUAGUAUUUGACAACUACCUUUUUAAUAAUGCACUGCACUUCAAAAUCCAUAGGGCCUCUGUUUUGUUGCAACAAUAAAAUUCUUGGACUUGUAAUCUUAAGGGCAUAAGUUUGAGUCUUGACCUUGAGAGCAGUUUUUGCAACUGAAUAUGUUAAGGUUAUGACGGCCUCCUAUUCCUUUUUGCCUGAGCCCAAAUUCAAGGCAACUAUAACUGGGUAAGAGCUUUUUACUUCAAAAUCUUUCCAAUUUAGGUAUUCUAUGAUUUCAUUUUGUUCUGUGAUAUUUUUAAGUUAGUAGAUACGUAUUCAUCCAUUUAAAAAGUGGUGGCAAAUGCUUCACUUUUAUGUAAACAGUGUCAUGCUGUUAUGAAAUUUGUUUUCUAUAUAUCAAAUGAAGACAGGAAAUUCUUAAGAUCUAAAAUUUGAUUGUUAAGUGGUGUGUUAUUGACAUAUUUUGCCAAUUUUGAGAAAUUGAACAGUUUGUAGCACUAAAUAAACAACUUAAUUAUAGUGUCUUGGUCUUUUGCUCAGCAAACUCAAACUAUGAGCUUGGAAGAGGUGAUAAGAUUGGCAGUUGGAAACCAAAACCAAUUCCUAGUCUUGAAGAUGUUCGUAUUAUUCAGAUAGCAAGCGGUGGAUAUCACUCAGUUGCCUUAACUGAUGAAGGUAAAAUUCUUUCAUGGGGCUUUGGUGGACAUGGUCAGCUGGGCCAUCCUUCAAAUCAAAACCAGAAAAUACCAGUGGUGAUUGACGCUUUAGCUGAUCAACGCGUUGUUUAUAUUGCCUGUGGAGGUUCAUCUUCAGCAGCUGUAACUGAUAAAGGGAAGCUUUACAUGUGGGGAAAUGCCAAAGAUUCUCAAUUGGGGAUUCCAGGUCUGCCAGAGGUGCAACCAUGUCCUGUUGAGGUCAAUUUUCUAAUGGAGGAUGAUGAUGACCUGGGACCCCACAAUGUGCUGUCUGUUGCUGUUGGUGCAUCUCAUGCAAUGUGUUUGGUUUUGCGAUCAGGCCGACCGAUAUAAUUGUUCCUCUGGUUUUAAGGUUUAUAAGAGUCUGCAGUACAGAGCUUCAAAAGAUAGAUGCAUAGAGAAAUGUUUGAUGAGCUGAACCAAGAAUGACUAGCAAAUGAGAAGUGUUGCAUUUCAUUGGGACACCUAGAAGCUUGAUGUGAAUCUUUCAAGUGCUAUGAGGAUUCUGUUGUGAUCUCUUCAUUCUUGGGAUUAGAUAGAUGUUCAUUUAAUAAACUGGGGAGUUAUCAAUUGAUUUGAUACUGAUGCACCAAUUGUUAGGUACUUCCAGUUUCAUAGUCUCGUUUAAUGUGACCAUUGUUCCAUCUCAUAUGUAUUUUCUUUGUUAUUUCUUAGGCUAGCACAAUUAUGUCUGCUCAAAACUCAAAGCACAAUGUAAGUGGCCGUUGCAGUGCUUUUUCAUGGCACAAAUCGAUGAUGAACAUUUUGUUUUGAG
This 2288-nucleotide unclassified non-coding RNA is filed under the name Hevea brasiliensis (rubber tree). Lineage: Eukaryota; Viridiplantae; Streptophyta; Magnoliopsida; Malpighiales; Euphorbiaceae. The record is from RNAcentral.